Molecule: long non-coding RNA, 8394 nt
Filed under: Homo sapiens (human)
Lineage: Eukaryota; Metazoa; Chordata; Mammalia; Primates; Hominidae
Description: long non-coding RNA NONHSAT206669.1
Source: RNAcentral
CAGAGCCAGAUUAAGGAGUGGCCAGUGGACAGCAAUUGCCCAAAGUGCCACUCAACAUAGGUCACUGCAAUGAGCACUGUUGUGCUCCACCCAGCUCCCCUUGGCUCCCUCUCCUGGUUGCUGUGUGCCCAAGCCCCGGGGCUGUGGCUUGAAUGUGUGACCCUUCCAAACCUCUUGUUGAAAUUUGAUCCCAAUGUUGGAGGUGGGACAUAAUGGGAAGUGUUUGGGUCUUGGGGGUGGAGCCCUCAGGAGUAGAUAAUGCCCUCCCUUGGAGCAGAGCAAGUAAGUUCUUGCUCUGUUAGUUCCUGAGAGAGCUGGUUGUUAAAGGAGCCUGGUACCUCCUCCCCUCUCUUGCUUCCUCCCUGCACACGCUGGUUCCCCUUCACCUUCUGCCAUGAGUGGAAGCCACCUGAGCCCUCCCCAGAAGGUGCUGGUGCUUCUUGUACAGCCUGCAGAACUGUGAGCCAAGUAAACCUUUUUAUAAAUUACCCAGCCUCUGGUAUUCCUUUAUAGCAACGCAACAAUGAAUGAAGACACCUAGCAUCCUUGUGCUUUGCUUCUGAUGGCCAGCACCUGUGUCCCAGCUGCCCUUGGGAUCAAGCAGAAAAUGCUUUUACCACCUGGCUUGGGUGCCUACCUUUCCUGCUGUGCUGUUCCUGCCUGUUGAUCAGUUUCUCCAGGAGAACUGCCUGAAGAAAUUGCUUGCACGAAAAUUCUGGUCUCAAAGUCUGCUUCUGAGGAGGCUGAUCUCCAACACCCACUAACACAGUCCUAGAAAUGUAAUGGGCAAGAGAAAAGCAACAUUUAUCCACCUGAUCAUGGCUCAGAGAGAUGACUCCAUGUGGCUGGAGAGAAUCCUUGGAUAUUGACUUUGGUGCAAGGGGUGAGCCCUUCCCACUCCAUUAAAUUGACCAAAGUGCCCUCCUAAGGAAUGCAAGUCCAGUCACCUGUGGGCUUUUUGGUUUCCUGGUCAAAAUACGUAAAUUGAGGGCUUGAGUGGAACUGCUUGGGACAAAAGUGUGGAGUUUGAGCCUUGGCUGGAGGGGAAGGCAGGAGGAGAGCUGAGCGUGGCACUCGGCUUCUCCUCUAGAUAGAUACCGAAUAGCAUUAAAUGUUAUGAAAAUGGCAGCUUUCUCAAAGUACCCACUGCCUCCAACUGACCCUGCUUCCUAGUGAAAAUGAGGAGGGAUUUUUGCUGGGCCUGCUGAAGAGGAACUAGGAAAGGAAUAGGCUGCCAGGAUUGGGGGUGACAGAUUUAAGGCCCUGUGUGUGGCACUGAGGUGUCCUUGAAGGAGGGGAGAGGCUGCAGGGCAGGAUGUUCCGGAUUCCUUUCCUGGUGGCCUGGGGGAUAACUGGACGGUGGAACCAGAGCUGUCUCUCCAUGGAUGGAGCAGGACAAGUCACACCUGAGGCCUCGGGCAGGCCAUGACCAUUCACCUGGCAGCCUGAGAAGCUUAAAGCUUCCAAAUCAGGAGCCAGCCCCUCCGCACCAGCCACUGCCAACUCUGUCUUCUAAACCUGCGCUCUGGUGGAACUUCUGCAUCAUGAGCAAACCCACAGGCCACAUUACCUUUGACGAGUGGGUCUAACAGUUAUGCUGAAGACGUGGCUGAGCAAAUUGUGCCGCGGAGAACAAUGACCAGGUUUCUGACCCCUCCAUCUGUGUGGAUGCCAAUUCUCAAGACUAGGUGUUGGCUUGCUCCAAGGGGACGUGACAAGCUGUGGACGUCCACCUGGGCUGCAGGUACACAGAAGGAGCCAGGCCUGCCCCUGUCCUGCCCUGCCGGGCUUCUCGUAUAUUGGAGAGUCCUGAAUGUACCCUGACAGCUGCAAGAAGGCAGGCUCUGAGACCUGCUCGGUGGCAAAGAGGCAGAAAGAAAGUGCUGGUGGGGUGAAGGUGAGGAUGAGAGCCACUCCUGCCAAGCAGAUCGCUGGGCGAGGGGCCUGCCGCGGGGACUCAGAGGAUGGGGAGGCAGAAUGGUAGCAUGUGUUUCGGUAGUGGUGGUAAUUACAAUACUCACAUCAGAGGGCUGUUGUGAACAUUAAGUGAGAUAAUUCAUGCCAGGUGUUUGGAAGAGUAGCUGGCCCAGAAAAAAGGCAUAUUGUGUUAUUAUAGAUGCACGUACACACACACAGAAUUUUACAGACCACUUUAAUUAUUUAGUUACUGUAAAUAAUUAUUUAUUAUAAUUAAUACACUAUUAGAUAAUAUAUUAUACAAAAUAUAUAAAAUGUAUUACAUUAAUAUAUUAUAUGUAAUUAUAAUUGUAUGUAUGAUAACUACCAUGCUCGGGCUGGUCUCAAAUUCCUGGACUCAAGCAAUCUUCCCACCUUUGCCUCCCAAAAUGCUGGGAUUACAGGCAUGAGCCACUGCACCCGGCCUUAUAAUUUAUUAUUUAUUAUGAAAUACACAUCCAAUAUUAUUAACCUUUAUAUAUUAUGUAUUAAGUUAACAGACAAGUAUUUUAAAUUUGUCAAAUUGAAUAUUACCAUGUAUCAAUAUGUUCUGUAGCAUGUAUAAUACAUAGUACACAUUAUUAUGAGCAAGGGGCUUGUGAGAUGGGAGUGUUCCAGAUUUGUGGAGGCAAGAAGAGCAGUCAGUCCGCUGUGUGCACAGGGACCUGGAGUGGAGAGAAGGGUGCAGAGGAAGCUCAGGAUGCCGUUGGCCGGGACUUAGCGGAGUUGGAGCUGCGUUCUGUAGACCACGGGCCACUUUCCUUCACUCAGGCAGGAGCAGGUGCUGAGUGCUUCCUAGGAGCCAGCGCUGUGCUAGAUACAGGAGAGGAGGCAGGGAUGACAGAGGAGGCCCCGUCCUAGUGGAGGUCUCAAUCCACAAGGAGGCAGGCAUUGCAGGGGUCUCACCCUGGGAUGAGCAUUACAGAAGGCAAGUGAGGGCCCCCCAGCACAAGGCAAGGUGGGGCCGUGGCCUGAGGCAAGAGAGGAGUCCCAUCAUCAUCAAGCUGAGGCUCUAAAAGAAGGAGUUAGGCAGGUUAAAGGUAUGGCAUGGCUCUUGCACAAGAAAGACUGACACCCAAAGAUGGCUCAAGGGAAGGUCAGGGGGAAGGCAGUGUUCACUGGGCGAACUGGACAAUGACCUCAGCUUGGACCUGGGUAGCAGAGAGCGAGAGGGAGCAGGCUGGGGAGAGGCUGGGGUGGAGGCACCAGGGAGCCACAUCCAGAUGCACAAAGAGAGAGCACAGCAAGAAGCUGGGGCUGCAGACCAGAGGGCUGGGUGUCGGCCUCUCGCUGGUGAUGAGACAGGCGGCUUCUGCGAAGGGCCAGGGAUGAUGGAGGGGAAUUGGAUCCUGGAGCAGGAAAGUAGGGCAUGGUUAGGGGCUGAUGGAGACCUGCAGUCGCAUGGAAGGAAGGCAGAGUCUCAGGGCAAGGGGUGCCCAGCGAGCCUGACGCUGGGGGUGCAAGGAAGCCAAGCAUCGGAGGUGACUCCAAGUUCUGGACACAGGGACGGGGAAAAAAGUGUCAUUAUCGAAGAUGGGGUAUACAUCUUGGGAAAAGGCUGACUUCUAUGUAUGUAUGUAUGUAUGUAUGUAUGUAUGUAUGUAUAUAUAUUUGAGAUGGAGUCUUGCUCUGUCGCCAGGCUGGAGUGCAGUGGCACAAUCUCGGCUUAAUGCAACCUCCACCUUCCGGGUACAAGCGAUUCUCCUGCCUCAGCCUCCCAAGUAGCUGGGACUACAGGCGCACACAUCACGCACGCCCAGCUAAUUUUUGUAUUUUUAGUAGAGAUGGGGUUUUACCAUGUGGGCCAGGAUGGUCUCGAUCUCCCGACCUCAUGAUCCUCCCAUUUUGGCCUCCCAAAGCUCUGGGAUUACAGGUGUGAGCUACUGUGCCCGGCCCACUUAGUUAUUUUAAGAUAGGGUCUUGCUCUGUUGUCCGAGCUGGAGUGCAAUGGUGCUAUCAUAGCUCACUGCAACCUCGACCUUCUAGGCUCAAGUGAUCCUCCUGCCUCAGCCUCCUGAGUAGCUAGGACUCCAGGUGUGUGAAAUCAUACCCAGAUAAUUUUUAAAUUUUUAGUAGAGAUGGGUCUCACUAUAUUACCCCAGCUAGUCUGCAACUCCUGACCUCAAGUGGUCCUCCCACCUUGGUUUCCCAAAGUGCUGGGAUUACAGGUGUGAGCCACUGUGCCAGACUUUUACUUUUAAUAUUUGCAAUGUUAGCAUCUGAAAGCUGACUAAGCUUGUUUUCCUAGUGUGAAAUUCAGGAUUUAUAAAUUCAAAUAGACUUAUGAAACAAAUAUAUGAUGUAUAGAAUUUGUCACUGCUAACUUCUAACUGAAUAAAUCAUUGGCUUCCUUGGUAAUUGUCUGUAAUUAGCAAGAUUAUAAAUCUAAAUAAUGUGGAAGUUCCCCCUCACCACACACACACACACACACACGUGUGCACCUGUGCAUAGUGUCUAGAAUUUGUUACCAAGUUGUAAUAUUCAGACUGCUGAGAAUUAUGGCAGGAUUAAACAAUGCUGAGAAGGCACAGGGAGUCUGCUCUGACCUGUAUAGAUGUUUGAUCAAUUAGAGCUCUGUCAGAUGGAAGGGCGGAUCCCAGAGGAGGGGAGCUCUCUCUCCUGGUCUGUUCAAGGUUUGACAGUGGAGAUUGGGACACAGGCUGCAUAAAUGAGCAGACUGCCACUAAGGUGACUCAGCUUUGAGGUCACAGUCCUGUGAUUUCCCAGCUUUAAAGUCAGUGCCUCGGACUCCCUAUCAUCUUCCCUGCUCCCCAUGAUCUCCCCCGCUCCCCAUCGUCUCCCCCCAGUCUCCAUCAUCUCCCCCGCUCCCUAUCAUCUUCCCUGCUCCCUAUCAUCUCCCCCACUCUCCAUCAUCUCCUCUGCUCCCCAUCAUCUCCCCCGCUCCCCAUCAUCUCCCCCGCUCUCAUCUCCCCACUCCCCAUCAUCUCCCCAACUCUUCAUCAUCUCCCCACUCCCCAUCAUCUACCCACUCUCCAUCAUCUCCCCCCUCCCCAUCAUCUCCCCGGCUCCCCAUCAUCUCCUUGGCUCCCCGUCAUCUCCCCCACUCCCCAUCAUCUCCCCCACUCUCCAUCAUCUUCCCGCUCCCCAUCAUCUCCCCCACUCCCCAUCAUCUCCCCUGCUCCCCAUCAUCUCCCCUGCUCUCAUCUCCCCACUCCCCAUCAUCUCCCCCACUCUUCGUCAUCUCCCCACUCCCCAUCAUCUCCCCACUCUCCAUCAUCUCCCCCCUCCCCAUCAUCUCCCCGGCUCCCCGUCAUCUCCCUGGCUCCCCGUCAUCUCCCCCACUCCCCAUCAUCUCCCCCACUCUCCAUCAUCUCCCCCACUCUCCAUCAUCUCCCCCACUCUCCAUCAUCUCCCCACUCCCCAUCAUCUCCCCCACUCUCCAUCAUCUCCCCCGCUCCCCAUCAUCUCCCCCGCUCCCCAACAUCUCCCCCACUCCCCAUCAUCAGCCCCACUCUCCAUCACCUCCCCUGCUCCCCAACAUCUCCCCCCCUCCCCAUCAUCUCCCCCGCUCUUCAUCAUCUCCCCACUCCCCAUCAUCUCCCCACUCUCCAUCAUCUCCCCCCUCCCCAUCAUCUCCCCGGCUCCCCGUCAUCUCCCCCACUCCCCAUCAUCAGCCCCACUCUCCAUCACCUCCCCCGCUCCCCAACAUCUCCCCCACUCCCCAUCAUCUCCCCCACUCUCCAUCAUCUCCUUCCGCUCUCUCAACCACCUCUCUGCAGUGGUUCACUGCAGGCCAGCGGAGUGGAAUUCAUGGAUGCUGAGGGAGCAAGUGUGUCUGCAGAGAUUUCCUUGAGGUCAAAAUACAUGCUUUUAGGAGAAGUCACGUUGCUUUUGCAACCCAGUGUUUCACAAUGCCACAUUGCUCAUUACCUUUUCAAAAUCUCCCUGUAUGAAGCUGUUAUUUUUUUUUUCUGUCCUCUGCCACUGAGCUGUCAUAGAAAGGCAUUAUGAGAGCUAAUCCCUGUAAUCCCCAGGGAAUUGUCCGUUAUGAAGCUCCGUCCAGGUCUAUCUUGCUGUCUUUCCCUGGCUUACCCAGAGCACCUGCCUUGGUGUAAUCCUCCAUCGCUGCCACAUGGAAGUGUUUUUUCCCUUCCUAAACAAGUUCCUCUUCUGGUAUGGCUGUCAGUGGACCCUGACACAGCCUUUUGGAGCAAAGCACUUGACGGUGUCCAGAAUUCACAUGGUAGCACACAGGUUGCACUUCCAGGAGGCAAGGAGGUAGCUCUUGACCAGAACCCUGGAACUCUGCUCUCCCAGGUGACCUUGGGGAGCCAUAGCCCAUCUCGGGCAUCCCUGUCUCCUCUUUAGAGAGAGAAAUUGAACACAGUGAUCUCUGAGGUCUAAGCAGCUCUAAACCUCUGUCUUGGACAGCUAGGACAGAAUUUAAAUGAGCAUUUAUUGUUUUUCACCCACCUAGUUCUUCUAGUUAGGUUACAGAAUAAGGCAAUUAAGCCAAACCUGGACCCGGGCAGUGCCAGCCUGGGGCUGCAGCUGUCUUUAGUGUGUAGCCUGGCUCUAGACCUGGCCCCCGAGCAGCUGCUUCUUGACACUUCCAAAGGACAGCGCUGUUCUGUGCCCCUCCCAAAGGUGGUCCUGCAGGACCCCAAGCCUAUGUGAAUUUCUCUCCAUAACUCGCAGGGUGGCAGGGCACAGCACAGGACCCACACGCCACCUGGGGAAGAGGAAAUAGGAAACUGACCACGGCAAAAAUGAACAAGAGCCAAGGAUACACCAAGCUGCAUUUCCAGCCAGAGGGAACGUUUGGCCUGGGAUGGGCUCUGUGGAUGAGUCAGCACGGGAGCGGCAAACGCGGCCUGGCAGGCCCUGGGCCUGUUAUGGAGAAUGUUGAAUGCCCUGGGGCGCAAAUGAGAGAGAAGGAUGGGGAAGAGAGAGAGGCUUGCACACCAGACAGAGGCAGAGAAAGAGGCAAGAGGCAUAUGGCCCUGAUUUUCCCUGCCAAGAGCCUGAUAGUAAGAGCUAAGGCCAGUCUUCAGGUGUGCACGUUGUUUUUUCACUAAACCCUGAGUCACUGCUGCUGCCCUCCAAUACGCUGGAGGUGAUCGGGCAUGGGAGGAGCAGGGAGGAUGGGGAGGUGCAAAGCUGAUGGGCUAUGGACCCUUCAGCACACCCGCACACAGCUGUCAGCAGCAGCACUCAUUCCUUUCUGAGCCAGGCUGCGUUCAUCAGCAACCACUGUGUCCUUUGCAGGGAAAGGAGCUGAGCCCAGGGAGCUGGCAGAUGCUCUCCUCAGAUUUUCACCAGCAGAUCCCGUUGUCUAAGGACAAAAUUACUAUUUUGCCAGAGUAUACGGCUUUAAAGCAGAGGGCUUUAAAUACAUUCCAGACAGAAAGAAGGAAUUCAUUUUCCCCUUCAGUACAGGAUCAGCUCAUCUGAGGACAAGUGUGCCCUCUCCUCCUCAGCUAUGUCUGGAAUUAAUCUCCCAGAGUUAGACUGUUUGGUGCAAAAGAGAAAUGAAAAAAUGCAGUCCUAGGAUGUUUAACUCAACAGGUGCGAGAUUCUGAAGGGGUCUGGACAUGUCUGCUCUGUGUAAUUAGCAAGAAAAUAGUCCAGUUUAGCAAGCAUUUAUUAAACAGAAACUGUGUGCCAGGCCAAUUGCUGGAGCUUUCAAACUCACUAAGACUGACAUGAUCAUAUGCUUUCUGAUGAUUUUGGUGGUUUUCAGAAAGAAAGUGAAUGUUGUAAUUGCUUCGUUGAGCAACUGCUUAAAUAGUCACUAUAGCCUCUAAAAGAAUAAAAAUCAUUACAUUUAAAUUUUAUUUAUUUUGUAAAAGACCAAAAAUAAACCGAAGCUGUUGAGCCUUAAGUGAAUGUUUCUUUACCACAAAGGAUAUUAUUUCUCUAAGGGUAAGGAAAGAGAUUGCAGAUAACAUGAACAGGUUGGGAUUUUAUAUAUGCAUGCAUGCACAUACACAUACAAUAUGCAUCUCAAUUUUAGAACAAAGCAAUUGUCUCUUUCCAAAGAAAGAAGAGGAUACUGGCAUUCUCAUGUGGCUUUCAUUUCCCCUCCUCUUCGUCUCAAUUUUAGUAAGUUAUGUUAGAGUUGGUUGGACUGAAUCCCCCAAAAAGGUUUUCUCAAAUUCUAGUCCCGAGACCUGUGAAUGUGGUCUUAUUUGGAAAAUAGGGUCUUUGCAGAAGUCCUUGAGUUAAGAUGAGGUCAGGCUGGAUUGAGGUGAGACCUAAAUUAGUGACUGAUGUUCUCAUAAGAGCAAAGUUUGAACACAGAUACACAGAGGAAAGAAAGCCACAUGAAGACAAAGGGAUGUUGGAGUGAUGCAGCUACAAGCCAAGGAAUGCCAAGCAUUGCCAGCAACUGCUGGAAGCUGGGAGAGAGACCUGGAACAGAUUCUUCCUUGGAGCCUCCAGAAGGAACCAACUCAGCCGACACCUUGAUCUGCC